CAAAGUGUAGCUUAACUAAAGCGCCUGGCUUACACCCAGGAGAUUUCACAUACGGCUGACCGCUUUGA
This 68-nucleotide transfer RNA is filed under the name Hydrictis maculicollis (Spotted-necked otter). RNAcentral describes it as "tRNA-Val". It matches the Rfam family "tRNA". Rfam says of the family: Transfer RNA (tRNA) molecules are approximately 80 nucleotides in length. Their secondary structure includes four short double-helical elements and three loops (D, anti-codon, and T loops). Further hydrogen bonds mediate the characteristic L-shaped molecular structure. tRNAs have two regions of fundamental functional importance: the anti-codon, which is responsible for specific mRNA codon recognition, and the 3' end, to which the tRNAs corresponding amino acid is attached (by aminoacyl-tRNA synthetases). tRNAs cope with the degeneracy of the genetic code in two manners: having more than one tRNA (with a specific anti-codon) for a particular amino acid; and 'wobble' base-pairing, i.e. permitting non-standard base-pairing at the 3rd anti-codon position. The record is from RNAcentral. Lineage: Eukaryota; Metazoa; Chordata; Mammalia; Carnivora; Mustelidae.